UAGGGAAUCUUCCACAAUGGGCGAAAGCCUGAUGGAGCAACGCCGCGUGUGUGAUGAAGGCUUUCGGGUCGUAAAGCACUGUUGUAUGGGAAGAACAGCUAGAAUAGGAAAUGAUUUUAGUUUGACGGUACCAUACCAGAAGGGACGGCUAAAUACGUGCCAA
Molecule: ribosomal RNA, 163 nt
Filed under: uncultured bacterium
Lineage: Bacteria
Description: partial 16S ribosomal RNA
Rfam family: Bacterial small subunit ribosomal RNA
Source: RNAcentral